This 521-nucleotide long non-coding RNA is filed under the name Pongo abelii (Sumatran orangutan). RNAcentral's name for it is "lincRNA". Lineage: Eukaryota; Metazoa; Chordata; Mammalia; Primates; Hominidae. The record is from RNAcentral.
GUUCCAAUGAGAAUGAAGGCUGAGGUGUGCGCCUUUUUUUUUUUUCCUUCUUAGUCGUGUGUACAUCAUUGGGAAUGGAGGGAAAUAAAUGACUGGAUGGUCGCUGCUUUUUAAGUUUCAAAUUGACACUCUAGGCAAGCGGUGCCUGAGCCCGUGCCUGUCUUCAGAUCUUCACAGCACAGUUCCUGGGAAGGUGGAGCCACCAGCCUCUCCCUGACAAGCAAAGUGGAUCAGCAAAGGCUGCAGUCACCAGCAUCUUUUCCAUCCUUAAUUAACUGCAUCCUCAAAAGAACACUAUCAGACUGGCUCUGCCGACUUCCAGUUCUGGAACAAGAUGGUUAAACUCAUUUUUCCCUGCUCUGCUCCUCUAAAUACAACUAAGUACCUUGGAAACUAUUCAGCACACAAUGAUAAAGAGCUCUGAAAGCUAGAAGAAAAGAAGGUGUACUUGCAAGAAACCUCAGGACUUGAGUAACAGCAACAUGGUAAGUUUUCUAAGUUUUCUUUUCAUCUCCCAUAUA